CACGAGAUCAGAAGAAGCAGAAACAUCCAACUCAGAAGCUGCUUCAGCAGCGUUGCCUUCUAGCAUCAUGUCAUCAGAAAUAGAUCCAAGUUUGGAAUAUGAGCUUUCAGCAUUGCGAGAAGCAAUCGAUUCUGGGUUUACAUAUUUCCUGGCACAUGGAGAUGUGAGAGCCAAAAAGAACUCAUUUUUCCUCAAGAAACUCGUCAUAAACUACCUCUAUGCAUUCCUAAGGAGAAACUGUCGAGCCGGGGCCGCAAAUAUGAGCGUACCGCACAUGAAUAUCUUGCAGGUAGGUAUGACAUACAUGGUCUGAUGAUUUUUCCAUCCAAAAAAAAGCAGCCAUUUUUUU
Molecule: long non-coding RNA, 349 nt
Filed under: Gossypium raimondii (Peruvian cotton)
Lineage: Eukaryota; Viridiplantae; Streptophyta; Magnoliopsida; Malvales; Malvaceae
Description: long non-coding RNA (GRAI_LNC007448)
Source: RNAcentral